RNAcentral lists this ribosomal RNA (515 nucleotides) under uncultured bacterium. Its description in RNAcentral is "partial 16S ribosomal RNA". It matches the Rfam family "Bacterial small subunit ribosomal RNA", at positions 28 to 523 of the family's 1533-position model. The record is from RNAcentral.
GAUGAACGCUGGCGGCGUGCCUAAUACAUGCAAGUCGAGCGAAUGGAUUAAGAGCUUGCUCUUAUGAAGUUAGCGGCGGACGGGUGAGUAACACGUGGGUAACCUGCCCAUAAGACUGGGAUAACUCCGGGAAACCGGGGCUAAUACCGGAUAACAUUUUGAACCGCAUGGUUCGAACUCGAAAGGCGGCUUCGGCUGUCACUUAUGGAUCGACCCGCGUCGCAUUAGCUAGUUGGUGAGGUAACGGCUCACCAAGGCAACGAUGCGUAGCCGACCUGAGAGGGUGAUCGGCCACACUGGGACUGAGACACGGCCCAGACUCCUACGGGAGGCAGCAGUAGGGAAUCUUCCGCAAUGGACGAAAGUCUGACGGAGCAACGCCGCGUGAGUGAUGAAGGCUUUCGGGUCGUAAAACUCUGUUGUUAGGGAAGAACAAGUGCUAGUUGAAUAAGCUGGCACCUUGACGGUACCUAACCAGAAAGCCACGGCUAACUACGUGCCAGCCGCCGCCGUAA